CGGUGUAGCUCAGCUGGCUAGAGCAGCUGAUUUGUAAUCAGCAGGUCGUGGGUUCGAGUCCCUCCACCG
This 69-nucleotide transfer RNA is filed under the name Aureicoccus marinus. It matches the Rfam family "tRNA". From Rfam's summary of the family: Transfer RNA (tRNA) molecules are approximately 80 nucleotides in length. The record is from RNAcentral. Lineage: Bacteria; Pseudomonadati; Bacteroidota; Flavobacteriia; Flavobacteriales; Flavobacteriaceae. RNAcentral also lists the same sequence under 2 other names.